UACCAGAGACUCGAAUGACCCGUGUUUGAACGUUUUCGCGUUGAAACCACGUUAAAACAGUAUCUCUCAGUCGAUAUAAAAACCAAAACCAAAGUACCUGGUGCGUUUCAGGUUGACGGUUUGACGGUGAAACGUUCAUCUUCAUCUCUGCAACACGUUUGCACAUAAUUCGGAAAAUAAUUAUUCGUCACAUGUGUGUUGAUACACACAUGUCCCUCUAUCAUUGAAUAUAAUACGUAUACAAGUACGUGUAAAAACUCAGCAACAUACGCUCGUGCUGAAUUACGCUAGCAGCAGUAAAAGAAUUGUAGAAAAAGAAAUAAUAAUAACAAUAGAAAAAAGAAGAAGAAGAAGAAGAAGAAACAACAACAACAACAACAACAACACAACGACAACGCAAAGACAACCUCAAGACCGGACAAACAAAUUGCAAGAAACUCGACUCGUGCAGGAAGGAAGUCAAAAACAUUCAACACGUGCACAUUGCGUCGUUAAGGGAGCACAAUCAAAGGACAAGAAGAAGAAGACGAAGAGAAGAAGGAAAAAACGUAAGAAAGAACAGAACAAUCGCUACCAAUUGCUACCGUCGUCGUGAAACAAAGAGAAUCAGUAGUGAGUCGUCCCAUCUUAGUGAGACUAUACACAAGACGAGAUUUCAAGAUUGCAUUUUUUUUUUUUCUCCUCACUUCGCUUCUCGUGAAGGAGAAAAAGACGUAAAAAAAACACAAUAAUAAUAGUAAUAAGAAUAAAAAUUCGCACAAAUUUAUAAAGAGACUGGGUUGUAUAAACGACAAAUGGAUAAAAAAAAUCGUCGCUAAUUUAGAGAGAUAAGUUAUCUCUGCAGUAUAAUAACGCGUAUUAUUAUACCUUCGCAUACAUACAUAUAUAUAUAUAUAAUACAUAUAUAAGUUUCUGUGUCAUUCGUUGAUUGACAAACGUGCGGCUCGCUACUCGUCUCGCUGAUGUGAAAAAGGAAAGGGAAAAAAAAAAAAAUAGAUAAACCAAAAUCGAAGAAGUACGACAAAGUGGCAAACAAAAUUUGAUCAAAGAGUAAAAGAAAAAGGAGAAGUUUCUAAUAAAAAAAAAAAAAAAAAUAAUAAAUAAAACGACAAUAUUUUCUCAAUCGACGUAAAAAUCCGCGAGUUCCUCGAAUAUUUUCAAUAUUGUUACACACACGCGAGUGCAAUUAAAUUCAUGUUAAAAACAUUUUUGAACGCAUAAAAAAAAAAAAAAAAAAUUAGCGUCGAAACAAAUUAAUACACGCAUACAUACACAUGCAUACAUACACGUAUAAUAUUGUAAUAAAUACAAAUUAGACACGUCUUAUUUCUCGUCUCGCUGUGCUGCCAUCGUCAUCGUCGUCGUCGUCGUCCGUCGUUUUAGGCAUUAACGCUAAGUGAUAUAAAUUGAAAAAAUAAGAGUCAAAUAGCAAGCAAGCGUAGCAAACUCCGUGAGCCGUCGCCGCGGAUUGGAUUUUCGAAAGGAGUUGCCCGAUUGGACGAGCCGUCGAAAGGAGAAUAACGCCGAUUGGUCGACGGUAAAAGUAGCCGAUGCUGCGCGGCAAGAGAUUCCCGAGCGACUCUCUCAUCAUAUUCCGUCUCUGAUCUAGUACAUCGUCGUCGUCCUCCUCCUCCUUUUGCAUCGUCGUGUUGCCGGUUUACACACAGAGAGAGAAAGAGAGAGGGAGAAAGAGAGAAAGAGAGAGAUUAACUUGCAUUAAAUAGUUGUAAUAAAAAGUAAAUUUUGAAAUAAAAAAAAAAAAAAAUUCCACGUAUUAUUUCGGGAUUGAAAUUCGUUUCACGCAAACGUUAAGAGACGUCGAGUAAGAAGAGAAUGUAACAACGAUUGGAAAUAAAUCGGAUAGGAUCCAAGGAUAAAAAUAAAAGAAAGAAACGCGACCGCGAAGCGUGGAGCAAAAAUUUCACCGUCAGAAUUCAGAGGGAAUUUAUAAACAGCAGGAAAAAAGGCUGAAAAGCGCGUUGUGCAAUCCGCGUUCUAGCUGAAAAACUAAAUUCAUCAUUAUCCAAUCGCCAUGGAGCUGAAAAUUCUGAAAAUGUGGUGACAGGAGAAAGGCGAAGGCCUCAAGUGAUCCAGACACUCUCUUGUGUGUGAGCCAUAUAGUAAAUCGUAUAUAUACUUAUGCAUAUGUAGAUAAUUUUGUCAAAAUAGAUACAGCGUGUAAUCCCUGCCUUGAUAAAAUAUCCAGACGAUAAUUGUUAAACAAGUGAAAAAGCAAAGAUCGAAAAAAGAAGGAGAUUGAAAGAAUAGAAAAACCCAGCGGAAAAAAAAAACAAUUGAGAGAGGAGAGAGAUAAAUAGAGAAGUAGAAAAUUUUUCGCAAGUUUUCGAGGAAAAGCUCGAUCGUCGGAAAACCGUAACGAGAAGACGAAAUCCUGCCCGGAAAUAAAGAAGAGGAGAACAACGUCGUACACGCUAAAAGGAGUGAACGUAUAACGGAAGAAUAUUU
This 2466-nucleotide unclassified non-coding RNA is filed under the name Neodiprion lecontei (redheaded pine sawfly). RNAcentral's name for it is "probable inactive tRNA-specific adenosine deaminase- like protein 3, transcript variant X1". The record is from RNAcentral. Lineage: Eukaryota; Metazoa; Arthropoda; Insecta; Hymenoptera; Diprionidae.